This 433-nucleotide ribosomal RNA is filed under the name uncultured bacterium. Its description in RNAcentral is "partial 16S ribosomal RNA". It matches the Rfam family "Bacterial small subunit ribosomal RNA", at positions 29 to 507 of the family's 1533-position model. The record is from RNAcentral.
AACGAACGCUGGCGGCAUGCCUAACACAUGCAAGUCGAACGAGACCUUCGGGUCUAGUGGCGCACGGGUGCGUAACGCGUGGGAACCUGCCCUUAGGUUCGGAAUAACUCCCCGAAAGGGGUGCUAAUACCGGAUAAUGUCUUCGGACCAAAGAUUUAUCGCCUUUGGAUGGGCCCGCGUUGGAUUAGCUAGUUGGUAGGGUAAAAGCCUACCAAGGCGACGAUCCAUAGCUGGUCUGAGAGGAUGAUCAGCCACACUGGGACUGAGACACGGCCCAGACUCCUACGGGAGGCAGCAGUGGGGAAUAUUGGACAAUGGGCGAAAGCAUGAUGCAGCUCGGCCGCGUGAGUGAUGAAGGCCUUAGGGUUGUAAAGCUCUUUUACCCGGGAUGAUAAUGACAGUACCGGGAGAAUAAGCACCGGCUAACUCCGUG